AUUGAACGCUGGCGGCAGGCCUAACACAUGCAAGUCGAGCGAGCGGCGGACGGGAUAGUAAUGUAUGGGGAUCUGCCUGAUGGAGGGGGAUAGCUACUGGAAACGGUAGCUAAUACCGCAUUCCAUCAGAUGAGCCCAUGUGGGAUUAGCUUGUAGGUGGGGUAACGGCUCACCAAGGCGACGAGCCCUAGCUGGUCUGAGAGGAUGAACAGCCACACUGGGACUGAGACACGGCCCAGACUCCUACGGGAGGCAGCAGUGGGGAAUCUUGCACAAUGGGCGAAAGCCUGAUGCAGCAAUGCCGCGUGUAUGAAGAAGGCUUUCGGAUUGUAAAGUACUUUCAGUCGGGAGGCGUUACCGAAAGAAGAAGCACCGGCUAACUCCGUGCCAGCAGCCGCGGUAAUAC
RNAcentral lists this ribosomal RNA (406 nucleotides) under uncultured bacterium. RNAcentral's name for it is "partial 16S ribosomal RNA". It matches the Rfam family "Bacterial small subunit ribosomal RNA", at positions 30 to 526 of the family's 1533-position model. The record is from RNAcentral.